AGAGUCCCAUCGGGAUAAAGCCUAGCCAGCAGUCCUGUAGCUAGUUCUUGAAGGCUAUUGGGCAACGAAUAGCUUAAGCGUAGAACGGCAAAAUAGCGGGCCGAAAGCGAAAGCUGAAGGGACUGAGCCUCGAAAAUACGUGGAGACAGGCCGAUGUAGUUACACAUACAGAAGGGAAUAUCGGUUCGAGCAUUUAUGAGUUUGAGUCGGCACUCUCGGGUCUGAGAGCU
Non-coding RNA from Paenibacillus popilliae ATCC 14706, 230 nucleotides. The record is from Rfam. Lineage: Bacteria; Bacillati; Bacillota; Bacilli; Caryophanales; Paenibacillaceae.